RNAcentral lists this ribosomal RNA (562 nucleotides) under uncultured bacterium. RNAcentral describes it as "bacterial SSU rRNA". It matches the Rfam family "Bacterial small subunit ribosomal RNA", at positions 96 to 654 of the family's 1533-position model. The record is from RNAcentral.
UGGCGAACGGGUGAGUAAUAUAUCGGAACGUACCCUAGAGUGGGGGAUAACGUAGCGAAAGUUACGCUAAUACCGCAUACGAUCUAAGGAUGAAAGUGGGGGAUCGCAAGACCUCAUGCUCGUGGAGCGGCCGAUAUCUGAUUAGCUAGUUGGUAGGGUAAAAGCCUACCAAGGCAUCGAUCAGUAGCUGGUCUGAGAGGACGACCAGCCACACUGGAACUGAGACACGGUCCAGACUCCUACGGGAGGCAGCAGUGGGGAAUUUUGGACAAUGGGCGAAAGCCUGAUCCAGCAAUGCCGCGUGAGUGAAGAAGGCCUUCGGGUUGUAAAGCUCUUUUGUCAGGGAAGAAACGGUGAAAGCUAAUAUCUUUUGCUAAUGACGGUACCUGAAGAAUAAGCACCGGCUAACUACGUGCCAGCAGCCGCGGUAAUACGUAGGGUGCAAGCGUUAAUCGGAAUUACUGGGCGUAAAGCGUGCGCAGGCGGUUUUGUAAGUCUGAUGUGGAAUCCCCGGGCUNCACCUGGGAAUUGCAUUGGAGACUGCAAGGCUAGAAUCUGGCAG